RNAcentral lists this ribosomal RNA (253 nucleotides) under uncultured bacterium. RNAcentral describes it as "partial 16S ribosomal RNA". It matches the Rfam family "Bacterial small subunit ribosomal RNA", at positions 524 to 776 of the family's 1533-position model. The record is from RNAcentral.
UACGUAGGGGGCAAGCGUUGUCCGGAUUUACUGGGCGUAAAGGGCGUGCAGGCGGUUUGUUAAGUGCAGAGUGAAAGCUCCCGGCUCAACUGGGAGAGGUCUUUGCAUACUGGCAAACUCGAGGGAGGCAGAGGAAAGUGGAAUUCCCGGUGUAGUGGUGAUAUGCGUAGAUAUCGGGAGGAACACCUGUGGCGAAGGCGGCUUUCUGGGCCUUACCUGACGCUGAGACGCGAAAGCGUGGGGAGCAAACAGG